RNAcentral lists this ribosomal RNA (169 nucleotides) under uncultured bacterium. RNAcentral describes it as "partial 16S ribosomal RNA". It matches the Rfam family "Bacterial small subunit ribosomal RNA", at positions 338 to 524 of the family's 1533-position model. The record is from RNAcentral.
CCUACGGGAGGCAGCAGCAAGGAAUUUUCGGCAAUGGGCGCAAGCCUGACCGAGCAACGCCGCGUGGAGGACGACGGCCUUCGGGUUGUAAACUCCUUUUGGGGGGGAAGACACAGACGGUACCCCCCGAAUAAGCCCCGGCUAACUCCGUGCCAGCAGCCGCGGUAAU